GAUGAACGCUGGCGGCGUGCCUAAUACAUGCAAGUCGAGCGAACAGAUGAGGAGCUUGCUCCUCUGACGUUAGCGGCGGACGGGUGAGUAACACGUGGAUAACCUACCUAUAAGACUGGGAUAACUUCGGGAAACCGGAGCUAAUACCGGAUAAUAUAUUGAACCGCAUGGUUCAAUAGUGAAAGACGGUUUUGCUGUCACUUAUAGAUGGAUCCGCGCCGCAUUAGCUAGUUGGUAAGGUAACGGCUUACCAAGGCAACGAUGCGUAGCCGACCUGAGAGGGUGAUCGGCCACACUGGAGCUGGGACGCGGUCCAGACUCCUGCGGGAGGCAGCAGUAGGGAAUCUUCCGCAAUGGGCGAGAGCCUGACGGAGCAACGCCGCGUGAGUGAUGAAGGUCUUCGGAUCGUAAAACUCUGUUAUUAGGGAAGAACAAAUGUGUAAGUAACUAUGCACGUCUUGACGGUACCUAAUCAGAAAGCCACGGCUAACUACGUG
RNAcentral lists this ribosomal RNA (497 nucleotides) under uncultured bacterium. RNAcentral describes it as "partial 16S ribosomal RNA". It matches the Rfam family "Bacterial small subunit ribosomal RNA", at positions 28 to 507 of the family's 1533-position model. The record is from RNAcentral.